AGAUUGAACGCUGGCGGCAUGCCUAACACAUGCAAGUCGAGCGGCAGCGCGGGGGCGACCCUGGCGGCGAGCGGCGGACGGGUGAGUAAGGCAUCGGAAUCUGCCCUGAUGUGGGGGAUAACGUAGGGAAACUUACGCUAAUACCGCAUACGACCGAGAGGUGAAAGGCGGGGGACCGAAAGGCCUCGCGCAGCAGGAUGAGCCGAUCGUCCGAUUAGCGUUGGGUUGGGUACGGGGUAAACCGGCCCACCGAAGGCGACGAGUCGGUAGCGUGGUCUGAGAGGAUGAUCACGCCACACGU
This 301-nucleotide ribosomal RNA is filed under the name uncultured prokaryote. RNAcentral describes it as "bacterial SSU rRNA". It matches the Rfam family "Bacterial small subunit ribosomal RNA", at positions 26 to 315 of the family's 1533-position model. The record is from RNAcentral.